Molecule: ribosomal RNA, 223 nt
Filed under: Klebsiella pneumoniae
Lineage: Bacteria; Pseudomonadati; Pseudomonadota; Gammaproteobacteria; Enterobacterales; Enterobacteriaceae
Also listed under: 3 other names
Description: partial 23S ribosomal RNA
Rfam family: Bacterial large subunit ribosomal RNA
Source: RNAcentral
GAGCCUUGAUGUGUAGGAUAGGUGGGAGGCUUUGAAGCGUGGACGCCAGUCUGCGUGGAGCCAACCUUGAAAUACCACCCUUUAAUGUUUGAUGUUCUAACGUUGGCCCCUUACCGGGGUUGCGGACAGUGUCUGGUGGGUAGUUUGACUGGGGCGGUCUCCUCCCAAAGCGUAACGGAGGAGCACGAAGGUUAGCUAAUCCUGGUCGGACAUCAGGAGGUUA